UAGAUUGUGGUGACUGUGGUGAGAUUAACAACACCCUUUAUUACAUUAUAAAUUAGAGAGAGACUAGAGUGAAGGACAAACUACGAAGACAUUAAGGUAGGAUAUAAAUAAAUUUUUUUGUCAACUACAAAUUCAUAUAUACUUGAUUUUGAAUUUGCAUGAAAUCACCUGGAGUACACACAAAUCUAACAUGUCUCCUAAGUGAAAGAGGCCGCUCAUGCAAGAAUGAGGUUCAAAGUAGUAAAUGCUUCCAAAUCUACCUGAAACUUCUCACACUCUUCACAAACCAGUUAAUCCAUACCCCUCUCAGUGAACCGCAUUACACAGAGUGCAUUUAGGAAGGCCAGUUUAAUCAAUGUAUUGUGUCAUCACAGAGACCGCAAUGCACUUGCAGGAGGAUUAUACCAAAACAAUUGUGUGCGAAACAUCCAUGGAAACAUGCCAAUGCAACCCCGCUCCCCACAAAGAUGCAACAUUGAGAGAGGGACGUGCAGUAUCAAGCUCUAUCCAUCUGCAUGCACU
RNAcentral lists this long non-coding RNA (522 nucleotides) under Physcomitrium patens. Its description in RNAcentral is "long non-coding RNA (PPAT_LNC002414)". The record is from RNAcentral. Lineage: Eukaryota; Viridiplantae; Streptophyta; Bryopsida; Funariales; Funariaceae.